UCACCUCUCCUUGGGGAGAGGCCGGAAAUCCCUGGGGAUUUCCGGGUGAGGGG
Molecule: small RNA, 53 nt
Filed under: Inquilinus ginsengisoli
Lineage: Bacteria; Pseudomonadati; Pseudomonadota; Alphaproteobacteria; Rhodospirillales; Rhodospirillaceae
Description: Whalefall-1 RNA
Rfam family: Whalefall-1 RNA
Source: RNAcentral